UGUGUGUCCAGAUACAGAUCCCAAAGUGUUGUCUCUAAAUCAGUACUGGCUUUGCUUUUCCACCAGAAUGCAAAUUAUGUUAUUUGCUGCCAUUGUGUGUCAAUUAAAGAUAAAAUGUGAAUUCCUACUGCAAUAUGCUCCUACUGGCAUAGCAUCGUGAUUUUCCUAAAAUUCACGGACCAGUUCCCAAAGAUGUUGGCUGCUUGGAUGCAAGAGAUGGAAUCUCGCUCUGUCGCCCAGGCUGGAGUGCAGUGGCAUGAUCUCGGCUCGCUGCAACCUCCGCCUCCUGGGUUCAAGCAAUUCUACUGUCUCAUCAUCCUGAGUAGCUGGGACUACAGGCUCAUGUUGCCAUACCUGGCUAACUGCUGUAUUUUUAGUAGAGACGGGGUGUCAUCAUAUUGGUCAGGCUUGUCUCCAACUCCUGACCUCAGGUGAUCCACCCACUUCAGCCUCCCAAAGUGCUGGGAUUACAGGUGUGAGCCACUGUGCCUGUCCUCAAGUCAGUGUAUUUAGAAUAUGCAUCACCUCAAGUAUAUAUCAUUUCUCUGUGAAUGCAUUAUCUUUAAACUGGAAGUUUGUGAAUAAAUCAUUCUAAUGACUUUUACUGAAUCCUUGGUUAUAGUUUUGAAUUGAUUAACUACAUGUUUUCCUAUGUUGCUUUGUAAUAAUUUAAACUGAAAAAGCAAAAAAUAAAUUAUUUAAUGUGUCAGGCAUCAGACCAUGAAUUUUCACAUAUAUUGAAUUAUUUAAAAGCUUCCAGCACUAUGUAUUAUAUGUCCUGAUAUUCUGAUUUUGGAGAUGAGGAAACUAAAACAAAAAGAAGCUCUUAUGUAUUAGAGUGCUGGAAUUUUGGUUGCUGUUUU
Molecule: long non-coding RNA, 863 nt
Filed under: Homo sapiens (human)
Lineage: Eukaryota; Metazoa; Chordata; Mammalia; Primates; Hominidae
Description: HSALNT0364111
Source: RNAcentral